AAAAUGCCCGCGUUAGCGAUUGUAGCGGAAAUCCUUUUUUAAAGCGGAACAAAGUGGCGCUGUAAAAAAGAUUGCAGCGGAAAGCGCGGCCCGCA
RNAcentral lists this small RNA (95 nucleotides) under Flavobacterium noncentrifugens. RNAcentral's name for it is "Flavo-1 RNA". It matches the Rfam family "Flavo-1 RNA". The record is from Rfam by way of RNAcentral. Lineage: Bacteria; Pseudomonadati; Bacteroidota; Flavobacteriia; Flavobacteriales; Flavobacteriaceae.